Molecule: ribosomal RNA, 468 nt
Filed under: uncultured bacterium
Lineage: Bacteria
Description: partial 16S ribosomal RNA
Rfam family: Bacterial small subunit ribosomal RNA
Source: RNAcentral
GACGAACGCUGGCGGCGUGCUUAACACAUGCAAGUCGAACGGAAGGGCCCGGCUUUUGGGGGGUGCUCGAGUGGCGAACGGGGGAGUAACACGUGAGUAACCUGCCCUUGACUUUGGGAUAACUUCAGGAAACUGGGGCAAAUACCGGAUAGGAGCUCCUGCUGCAUGGGGGGGGUGGGAAAGUUUCGGCGGUUGGGGAUGGACUCGCGGCUUAUCAGCUUGUUGGUGGGGUAGUGGCUUACCAAGGCUUGGACGGGUAGCCGGCCUGAGAGGGUGACCGGCCACAUUGGGACUGAGAUACGGCCCAGACUCCUACGGGAGGCAGCAGUGGGGAAUAUUGCACAAUGGGCGGAAGCCUGAUGCAGCAACGCCGCGUGCGGGAUGACGGCCUUCGGGUUGUAAACCGCUUUCGCCUGUGACGAAGCGUGAGUGACGGUAAUGGGUAAAGAAGCACCGGCUAACUACGUG